This 490-nucleotide ribosomal RNA is filed under the name uncultured bacterium. Its description in RNAcentral is "partial 16S ribosomal RNA". It matches the Rfam family "Bacterial small subunit ribosomal RNA", at positions 29 to 507 of the family's 1533-position model. The record is from RNAcentral.
AGUGAACGCUGGCGGCAGGCCUAAUACAUGCAAGUCGAACGGCAGCACAGUGAAGCUUGCUCCAUGGGUGGCGAGUGGCGGGCGUGUGAGGCAUACAUGGGAAUCUGCCCAGUCGUGGGGGAUAACGUAGGGAAACUUACGCUAAUACCGCAUGCGCCCUUCGGGGGAAAGCCGGGGACCUUCGGGCCUGGCGCGAUUGGAUGAGCCCAUGUUCGAUUAGCUAGUUGGCGGGGUAAAGGCCCACCAAGGCGACGAUCGAUAGCUGGUCUGAGAGGAUGAUCAGCCACACUGGAACUGAGACACGGCCCAGACUCCUACGGGAGGCAGCAGUAGGGAAUAUUGGACAAUGGGCGCAAGCCUGAUCCAGCCAUGCCGCGUGAGUGAAGAAGGCCCUCGGGUUGUAAAGCUCUUUUGUCCGGGAAGAAAAGCAUCGGGCUAAUACCUCGGUGUUCUGACGGUACCGGAAGAAUAAGCACCGGCUAACUUCGUG